CCUACGGGUGGCUGCAGUGAGGAAUAUUGGUCAAUGGACGCAAGUCUGAACCAGCCAUGCCGCAUGCAGGAUGACGGUUCUAUGAGUUGUAACCUGCUUUUGUACGAGGGUAAAACCCGAUACGGGUAUCGGGUUGAAAGUAUCUUACGAAUAAGGAUCGGCUAACUCCGUGCCAGCAGCCGCGGUAAUACGGAGGAUCCGAGCGUUAUCCGGAUUUAUUGGGUUUAAAGGGUGCGUCGGCGGGUUGAUAAGUUAGCGGUGAAAUGACGGGGCUCAACCCCGGAACUGCCUCGAAUACUGUUAGACUAGAGAAUGGUUGCGGUAGGCGGAAUGUAUGGGGUAGCGGUGAAAUGCUUAGAGA
This 361-nucleotide ribosomal RNA is filed under the name uncultured bacterium. RNAcentral's name for it is "partial 16S ribosomal RNA". It matches the Rfam family "Bacterial small subunit ribosomal RNA", at positions 338 to 696 of the family's 1533-position model. The record is from RNAcentral.